AUUGAACGCUGGCGGCAUGCUUUACACAUGCAAGUCGAACGGCAGCGCGGGCUUCGGCCUGGCGGCGAGUGGCGAACGGGUGAGUAAUGCAUCGGAACGUGCCCAGUAGUGGGGGAUAGCCCGGCGAAAGCCGGGUUAAUACCGCAUACGACCUGAGGGUGAAAGCGGGGGACCCAAAGGCCUCGCGCUCUUGGAGCGGCCGAUGUCGGAUUAGCUAGUUGGUGGGGUAAAGGCUUACCAAGGCGACGAUCCGUAGCUGGUCUGAGAGGACGACCAGCCACACUGGGACUGAGACACGGCCCAGACUCCUACGGGAGGCAGCAGUGGGGAAUUUUGGACAAUGGGGGCAACCCUGAUCCAGCCAUGCCGCGUGCGGGAAGAAGGCCUUCGGGUUGUAAACCGCUUUUGUUCGGGAAGAAAUCCUCUGGGCUAAUACCCCGGGGGGAUGACGGUACCGGAAGAAUAAGCACCGGCUAACUACGUG
RNAcentral lists this ribosomal RNA (484 nucleotides) under uncultured bacterium. RNAcentral describes it as "partial 16S ribosomal RNA". It matches the Rfam family "Bacterial small subunit ribosomal RNA", at positions 28 to 507 of the family's 1533-position model. The record is from RNAcentral.